Molecule: non-coding RNA, 29 nt
Filed under: Mus musculus (house mouse)
Lineage: Eukaryota; Metazoa; Chordata; Mammalia; Rodentia; Muridae
Source: RNAcentral
UAGCUUUCUGUUUUAUAUUUCCUAUGGCU